This 484-nucleotide ribosomal RNA is filed under the name uncultured bacterium. RNAcentral's name for it is "partial 16S ribosomal RNA". It matches the Rfam family "Bacterial small subunit ribosomal RNA", at positions 29 to 507 of the family's 1533-position model. The record is from RNAcentral.
AUUGAACGCUGGCGGCAUGCUUUACACAUGCAAGUCGAACGGCAGCGCGGGCUUCGGCCUGGCGGCGAGUGGCGAACGGGUGAGUAAUGCAUCGGAACGUGCCCAGUAGUGGGGGAUAGCACGGCGAAAGCCGGAUUAAUACCGCAUACGACCUGAGGGUGAAAGCGGGGGACCGAAAGGCCUCGCGCUAUUGGAGCGGCCGAUGCCGGAUUAGCUAGUUGGUGGGGUAAAGGCUUACCAAGGCGACGAUCCGUAGCUGGUCUGAGAGGACGACCAGCCACACUGGGACUGAGACACGGCCCAGACUCCUACGGGAGGCAGCAGUGGGGAAUUUUGGACAAUGGGGGCAAACCUGAUCCAGCCAUGCCGCGUGCGGGAAGAAGGCCUUCGGGUUGUAAACCGCUUUUGUUCGGGAAGAAAUCCUCUGGGCUAAUACCCCGGGGGGAUGACGGUACCGGAAGAAUAAGCACCGGCUAACUACGUG